AACGCACAUUGCGCCCGCCAGUAUUCUGGCGGGCAUGCCUGUUCGAGCGUCAUUUCAACCACUCAGGCCCUGGUGCCUGGCGUCGGGGUUUCUUAUAGAUCCCCUAGAACCAGUGGCGGACCCGCCGCGGCUCCGAGCGUAGUAGUAAAAUAUCUCGCUAUGGAGGCCCGUGGGGGGAUUACCGGCCGUAAAACCUCUUCUUUACUGAAGAACUUCUCAAGGUUGACCUCGGAUCAGGUAGGAAUACCCGCUGAACUUAA
RNAcentral lists this unclassified non-coding RNA (260 nucleotides) under uncultured fungus. Its description in RNAcentral is "partial contains 5.8S ribosomal RNA, internal transcribed spacer 2, and large subunit ribosomal RNA". The stretch from base 1 to 52 matches the Rfam family "5.8S ribosomal RNA", at positions 103 to 154 of the family's 154-position model. The record is from RNAcentral. Lineage: Eukaryota; Fungi.